This 259-nucleotide unclassified non-coding RNA is filed under the name uncultured Rhizosphaera. RNAcentral's name for it is "sequence contains ITS2". The stretch from base 1 to 52 matches the Rfam family "5.8S ribosomal RNA", at positions 103 to 154 of the family's 154-position model. Lineage: Eukaryota; Fungi; Ascomycota. The record is from RNAcentral.
AACGCACAUUGCGCCCCUUGGUAUUCCGAGGGGCAUGCCUGUUCGAGCGUCAUUACACCACUCAAGCACUGCUUGGUAUUGGGCACCCGUCCGCCGAAAGGCGGGCGUGCCUCGAAGACCUCGGCGGGGCCUAACCGGCUUCGGGCGUAGUAGAGUUAAAUCAAAAACGUCUUAUAAGUCUGGUUAGAACCCAUUGCCGUAAAACCUUUUUAUUUUCUAGGUUGACCUCGGAUCAGGUAGGGAUACCCGCUGAACUUAA